GGGCUGGGGCUCAGUGGUAGAGGGCUCGCCUACCAUGUGGGAGGCACUGGGUUCGAGUCUCAGCAGCACA
Molecule: transfer RNA, 70 nt
Filed under: Marmota monax (woodchuck)
Lineage: Eukaryota; Metazoa; Chordata; Mammalia; Rodentia; Sciuridae
Description: tRNA.Gly
Source: RNAcentral